Long non-coding RNA from Epinephelus fuscoguttatus (brown-marbled grouper), 338 nucleotides. RefSeq lists it as uncharacterized. The record is from RefSeq and is a predicted model, not a curated record. Lineage: Eukaryota; Metazoa; Chordata; Actinopteri; Perciformes; Serranidae. The transcript is spliced from 3 exons.
AAUGGACACUGCUGAGGAUCCAUAUCACACUAUAAAGAAACAACCACCCCAGGACCCUAUGCCUGUGUACUCACCUCCACCCCCAGUGAUGCAGAGACCGGACUCAACCCCUAUUAUUAUUGGGGAUGUACCCAAGAAGAACAGGACUGGGUUCUAUUCAGUAAAUCCCUGAGAUCCUCUGAAUGAAUGGGAGCCAUCAAGCAACAGGCAGACUGCAGUGAGCAGAGGCAGAGCGAAGAAACAUGAACUGCAUCAACAGCAUGGAUUUACAGUUCUCCAGAUAUGUUAUUUAUUGCACAAUUGUUUUAAGUUUUGACAUAGUUCUAUUUUUUGCCGAC